Tachysurus vachellii is the source of this 1979-nucleotide long non-coding RNA. RefSeq lists it as uncharacterized. The record is from RefSeq and is a predicted model, not a curated record. The transcript is spliced from 3 exons. Lineage: Eukaryota; Metazoa; Chordata; Actinopteri; Siluriformes; Bagridae.
UACUCUUCAUAUGUGCUGUGAGUAUUUUUAUAUAUUUCGUCCCUUUGUUUAGUCUCUGUGUCAACGGAGCUUGUGUCUAAUGCAGGGGCUACACUCAUUCAAGAACCUAUGCAAUGAUUUUAUAAUACCGGCUUGGUAAAUUCCCAAACAAUUCAUUUUUUAAUGUAUUAUUAGGAAUUUAAAAUAAUUCACUAUAACAAUCUAUAUUGUGAUGCUCACCCUUCAGCCACAAAGGAGGUUACGUGGCAAUUUGUUCUCUAUGAGUUUCUAGACUGCAUCUAACCACAUGAUGUGCUUCACCCACUUCUUUUAUUAAUCACUACACAGUACAGAUAUGCCAUUUGGUUACAUGGCUUGGCUAAAUGACCUCAGUUCAAUUGCAUCCUAUAGUUUACCUUAGUAUCUGCACAAUUUUUUAAUUGCUUUAACGUUAUAUUAAAUCUUAAGAAACAUUAAAAACAUUAUUUUUAAGCACAGUAAAGUCAUGUAGUUUAUUAAAAACUCUUUACAAACCUUUAUACUUUCACUUUACAGUUUUGUUAGGACAUUUUAUUUUCCAGUCAUAUUAAAUGCACUGAUUCUGUUUCAUGAUCUCAUGAUCAACCACUUCUUUUUUACUUUUAUAAAAUUAAUCUUUUGACUCAAAAUGGAUGCAUUGAUAAUACUGCUACCAAUUAUUUUGAGAGAUAUCUUUUUUGCAUUAAUAUUUAUAGAAGUUGUCAAUAAAUAAUGAGAAUGGGAGCAAGUUUGGUUAAAAUAAAUAGACUCAUUUCAUUCCCAUGUUUUGUCAUUAUAUUGUAAAUGAUGUUUCCAGCACACUGCUCCAUGGCUAGACUGGAAGGCAAUAAGCCAUUUGAAGAAUUGCAACAUUUCGCUUCCAGUGAUCCUUAUGUUUGACCCUCCCAGGUUGCUGUUGGUGCUGCUGAGUCAUGUGUAGUAGGACUCUGCUCUUAUCUCCAGUCGGCCAGGAGGACUUUCACUGGCAGUUGGUCUGUGUGAGUGAGGAAACAUGGAUGAUAUUGCCUUCUGCUGCUGAAUUACCUGCUUUGGUGUACUGGCUAGUUUCACUGGCUAAUUAGUGGAUAUGUUAAUAAUUUUAAAGCGCAGUGUCAAUGCCAGUGUAGAUCAUGAUUUCAUUUUGGUCUGUAACUCCACAGUAUGGAGUUUUGGGGUAGGUCCUCUCCAUAGGCCAGAGGACAGGCAGAGAAAAUUCAUACGAGGGCAUGACUCAGCAAACUGUACUCUGACUCCAAUCAACACUACCAGAGCUGAUCAGCGGCGUCCAAAGCAGAGAGAUACCAACAAAUCCCACUGACUCAGCAUAAAUGUUUGUGUCUGAAAGAAAAAAUCAGUAGAUUUCUCACUCACUCUCUCAUUUUCUACCGCUUAUCCGAACUACCUCGGGUCACGGGGAGCCUGUGUCUAUCUCAGGCAUCAUCGGGCAUCAAGGCAGGAUACACCCUGGACGGAGUGCCAACCCAUCGCAGGGCACACACACACUCUCAUUCACUCACGCAAUCACACACUACGGACAAUUUUCCAGAGAUGCCAAUCAACCUACCAUGCAUGUCUUUGGACUGGUGGAGGAAACCGGAGUACCCAGAUGGAACCCCAGAUUCACGGAGCUCAUACUGCCUGGAAAAAAAGUAUUUUGUAUCCUGUGAAAGGAGAUGCAGCAUUGAGGCCCCUCCAAACCAAACCCAGGCCAGUAAAACGUCCAUGGCCCCGUGUGGACGUUAGUUAUCUACUAACCACAUCUCCAUCUCUGGAAAUGGUGUGGACAGGGCUGUUCCCUCCACGGCUCUGCUCUCUAACAGACAGAAGCAGCAAGCUAAGUAUGCUGCUUGAGUGUGUUGACGUCAAUAAAAGCAACUAACACACUAAGGGGGCCUCUUGUACACACAUCACACGUGAUUUAGUAUAUCAUAUAGAUGAAGAAUGAUUGAAUUAAUUAUUACUAAAUAAAAAUUAUUAUUGUG